RNAcentral lists this ribosomal RNA (406 nucleotides) under uncultured bacterium. Its description in RNAcentral is "partial 16S ribosomal RNA". It matches the Rfam family "Bacterial small subunit ribosomal RNA", at positions 30 to 526 of the family's 1533-position model. The record is from RNAcentral.
AUUGAACGCUGGCGGCAGGCCUAACACAUGCAAGUCGAACGAGUGGCGGACGGGUGAGUAAUGUCUGGGAAACUGCCUGAUGGAGGGGGAUAAAUACUGGAAACGGUAGCUAAUACCGCAUACCAUCGGAUUUGCCCAGAUGGGAUUAGCUAGUAGGUGGGGUAAAGGCUCACCUAGGCGACGAUCCCUAGCUGGUCUGAGAGGAUGACCAGCCACACUGGAACUGAGACACGGCCCAGACUCCUACGGUGGGCAGCAGUGGGGAAUAUUGUACAAUGGGCGCAAGCCUGAUGCGGCCAUGCCGCGUGUAUGAAGAAGGCCUUCGGGUUGUAAAGCACUUUAAGUUGGGAGGCGUUACCAACAGAAUAAGCACCGGCUAACUUCGUGCCAGCAGCCGCGGUAAUAC